This 483-nucleotide ribosomal RNA is filed under the name uncultured bacterium. RNAcentral describes it as "bacterial SSU rRNA". It matches the Rfam family "Bacterial small subunit ribosomal RNA", at positions 28 to 507 of the family's 1533-position model. The record is from RNAcentral.
GAUGAACGCUGGCGGCGUGCUUAACACAUGCAAGUCGAACGAAGCACUUUAUUUGAUUUUCUUCGGAAAUGAAGAUUUUGUGACUGAGUGGCGGACGGGUGAGUAACGCGUGGAUAACCUGCCUCAUACAGGGGGAUAACAGCCGGAAACGGCUGCUAAUACCGCAUAAGCGCACGGUACCGCAUGGUACAGUGUGAAAAACUCCGGUGGUAUGGGAUGGAUCCGCGUCUGAUUAGCCAGUUGGCGGGGUAACGGCCCACCAAAGCGACGAUCAGUAGCCGACCUGAGAGGGUGACCGGCCACAUUGGGACUGAGACACGGCCCAAACUCCUACGGGAGGCAGCAGUGGGGAAUAUUGCACAAUGGGGGAAACCCUGAUGCAGCGACGCCGCGUGAGUGAAGAAGUAUUUCGGUAUGUAAAGCUCUAUCAGCAGGGAAGAAGAAAUGACGGUACCUGACUAAGAAGCCCCGGCUAACUACGUG